AGAGAAUUAGUUAAUUAUUUAACAUUAAAUUGUCAAUUUAAAAUUAUUAUCCUACAAAUAAUAUUCUUUU
RNAcentral lists this transfer RNA (70 nucleotides) under Vollenhovia benzai. Its description in RNAcentral is "tRNA-Asp". Lineage: Eukaryota; Metazoa; Arthropoda; Insecta; Hymenoptera; Formicidae. The record is from RNAcentral.